UCCUACGGGAGGCAGCAGUGGGGAAUUUUGGACAAUGGGCGCAAGCCUGAUCCAGCCAUGCCGCGUGCAGGAUGAAGGCCUUCGGGUUGUAAACUGCUUUUGUACGGAACGAAACGGCCUUUUCUAAUAAAGAGGGCUAAUGACGGUACCGUAAGAAUAAGCACCGGCUAACUACGUGCCAGCACCCGCGGUAAUA
This 196-nucleotide ribosomal RNA is filed under the name uncultured bacterium. RNAcentral's name for it is "partial 16S ribosomal RNA". It matches the Rfam family "Bacterial small subunit ribosomal RNA", at positions 337 to 525 of the family's 1533-position model. The record is from RNAcentral.